AGAAUCAACGCUGGCGGCGUGCCUAACACAUGCAAGUCGAACGAGAAAGUGGAGCAAUCCAUGAGUAAAGUGGCGCACGGGUGAGUAACACGUGACUAACCUACCCUUGAGUGGGGAAUAACUUCGGGAAACCGAGGCUAAUACCGCAUAACACCUACGGGUCAAAGGAGCAAUUCGCUUAAGGAGGGGGUCGCGGCAGAUUAGUUAGUUGGCGGGGUAAUGGCCCACCAAGACAGUGAUCGAUA
RNAcentral lists this ribosomal RNA (245 nucleotides) under uncultured bacterium. Its description in RNAcentral is "partial small subunit ribosomal RNA". It matches the Rfam family "Bacterial small subunit ribosomal RNA", at positions 26 to 285 of the family's 1533-position model. The record is from RNAcentral.